Molecule: long non-coding RNA, 3944 nt
Filed under: Marmota monax (woodchuck)
Lineage: Eukaryota; Metazoa; Chordata; Mammalia; Rodentia; Sciuridae
Source: RNAcentral
CUGCCUUAGGUCCAUACUUUUAGAUGAGAAAACACUAACAACAUGAAAAAACAAGGGAAUAAAGUGCCCCAAACAAACCAAGAUACUUUAACAACAGAAGCCACUGAUAACACAGUAGAAGAAAUGUCCAAGAAGGAGUUCAGUUUGUAUAUAGUUAAACUGAUAUGUGACAUAAAGGACAGUAUAAGGAGCGAAAUCAAAGAAAAAGUACAGGAAGUAAAAGACCACUUCAAUAAAGAUCAUGAAAAAAAAAAAGCAGAAAUCCUCAAAAUGAGAGAAUCAGUAAACCAAAUUAUAAAUUCAAUAGAAAGCAUCACCAACAGACUAGACCACAUGGAAGACAGAACCUCAGACAAUGAAGAUGAAGUACAUAAUCUUGAAAGCAGAAUUAAACAUGUGGAGAAGAUGGUAAGAAACCAUGAACAGAACAUCCAAGAAUUAUGGAAUAACAUGAAAAGACCAAAUUUAAAAGUUAUCGGAAUAGAGGAAGGAACAGAGAUACAAACCAAAGGAAUGCACAGUCUUUUCAAUGAUAUAAUAGCAGAAAAUUUCCCAAACCUAGAGAAUGGAAUGGAAAAUCAAAUACAAGAGGCUUACAGGACCCCAAAUGUACAAAAUUGCUGCAGACCCACACCAAGACACAUUAUAAUGAGAAUGACUAACACAGAGAAUAAAGAUAAAAUAUUAAAGGCUGUGAGAGAAAAAAAUCAAAUUACGUAUGGAGGAAACCAUUUUGGAUUUCAACUGAUUUCUCAGCCCAUACCCUCAAAGCUAGAAGGUCCUGGAAUAAUAUAUUUCAAGCUCUGAUAGAAGACAGAUGCCAACCAAGAAUUUUAUAUUCAGUGAAGUUAAGUUUCAGAUUUGAAGAUAAAAUUAAAACAUUCCAUGAUAAACAACAACUAAAAAAAUUAAAAGAAUUCACAACUAGAAAGCCUAUACUACAGAGCAUUCUCAACAAAAUAUUCCAUGAGGAUGAAAUGGAAAAAAAAAAGAAGCAAAAACCAGAAAAGGGAGGAUCUACACUAAAGGUACAUUCAACCAAAUGAGAAACUAAGACCAAAACCAGAAAUAAAUCAAAAUGACAGGGAAUACAAAUCAUAUCUCAAUAAUUACCUUGAAUGUUAACAGCCUAAAAUCAUCAAUCAAAAGACAUAGGCUGGCAGAUUGGAUUAAAAAGCAAGACCCAACAAUAUGCUAUCUUCAAGGAACUCACUUCAUAGGCAAAGAUGUCCACAGGCUGAAAGUGAAAGGAUGGGGAAAAACUUAUCACUCCUGUGGAUUGCAUAAGCAAGCAGGGGUUUCCAUUCUCAUUUCAGAUAAAGUAGACUUCAAACCAAAGUUAAUCAGAAGACACAAAGAUGGACAUUUCAUACUUCUUAAGGAAGUAUAUGUAAGCAGGACAUAACAAUUAUAAAUGUUUAUACUCCAAACAAUGGAGCAUUAUGUACAUCAAUAAAACCCUUUUCAUUUUCAAGAUUCAAAUAGACCACAAUACAAUAAUACUGGGUGAUUUUAAUACACCUCUCUCAGUACUGGACAGAUUUUUCCAAACAAAAACUAAAUAAGGAAACUAUAGAACUCAAUAAUACAAUCAAUAAUUUAGACUUAACAGACAUGUAUAGAAUAUUUCAUCCAUCAACGAGCAAAUAUACUUUUUUCUCAGCAGCACAUGGCUUCUUCUAUAAAAUAGACCAUAUCUUUUUCCACAAAGCAACUCUCAGUAAAUACAAAAAAACAUAGAUAACACCCUGCAUUCUAUUAGACCACAAUGGAAUGAAAUUAUAAAUCUAUGAUAAAAUAAAAAAUAGAAGCUACUGUAACAAAUGGAGACUAAAUAAUACACAAUUGAAUGAUGAAUGGGUAGUAGAAGAAAUCAAGGAUGAAAUUAAAAAGUUCUUCAUGGUAAAUGAGAACACUGAUACAAUAUAUCAAAAUCUCUGGGACACUAUGAAGGCAGUACUAAGAGGAAAGUUUAUUGCAUUGAGUGCAUUCAUUAAAAGAAUAAAAAGUCAACAAAUAAAUGAUCUAACACUAUAUCUCAAAGCCCUAGAAAAAGAAGAACAAACCAACACCGUAAACAAUAGAAGAUAGGAAAUAAUUAAAAUUAGAGCUGAAAUCAAUGAAAUUGAAACAAAAGAAACAAUUGUAAAAAUUGACAAAACAAAACGUUUCUUCUUUGAAAAAAAUAAAUAAAAUAGAUAAACCCCUGGCCAUGCUAAUGAAGAGAAAAAGAGAGAAAACUCAAAUUACUGAAAUACAAGAUGAAGAAGGAAAUAUCACGAUGGACACAUCGGAAAUACAGAAGAUAAUUAGAAACUAUUUUGAAAAUUUAUACUCUAAUAAAAUAGAAAAUGUCAAAGAUAUUGACAAAUUUCUAGAGACAUAUUGACCUACCCAAACUGAAUGAGGAGGUCAUACAUGAUUUAAACAGAUCAAUUUCAAGUAAUGAAAUAGAAAACACCAUCAAAAGCCUACCAAUAAAAGCUCAAAACCAGAUGGAUUCUCAGCUGAAUUUUACAAGACUUGCAAAGAAGAAUUAACACCAAUCCUCCUCACUUAUUCCAUGAAAUUGAAAAGGAGUGGACCCUUCCAAACUCAUUCUAUGAAGCUAAUAUCACACUGAUACUAAAACCAGACAGACACAUCAAGGAAAUAAAACUUCAGACCAAUAUACCUGAUGAACAUAGAUGCAAAAAUUCUCAAUAAAAUUCUGGCAAGUUGUAUAUAAAAACGUAUUUAAAAGAUAGUGCACCACAAUCAAGUGGGUUUCAUCCUAGGGAUGCAGUGUUGGUUCAACAUAUGGAAAUCCAUAAACAUAAUUCACCAUAUUAAUAGACUUUAAAACAAGAAUCAUAUGAUCAUCUCAAUAGAUGCAGGAAAAGCAUUUGACAAAAUACAGCACACCUUCAUAUUCAAAACAUAAGAAAAACUAGGCAUAGUAGAAACAUACCUCAACAUUGUAAAAGCUAUGUAUGCUAAACCCAAGGCCAGCAUCAUUCUAAAUGGAGAAUUGAAAACAUUCCCUCUACAAACUGGAUGAAGACAAGGAUGCCCCCUUAUCACCACUUCUAUUCAACAUCAUUCUUAAAACUAGCCAGAGCAAUUGACACACAAAAGAAAUUAAAGGGAUACAAAUAGGUAAAGAAGAACUCAAAACUAUCACUAUUUGCUGAUGACAUGAUUCUAUAUCUAGAAGAUCCAAAAAUUCCACCAGAAAACUCCUAGAACUAAUAAAUGAAUUCAGCAAAGUAGCAGGAUAUAAAAUCAACAACCAUAAAUCAAAUGCAUCCCUAUACAUCAGCAAUGAAUCCACUGAAAGAGAAAUUAGGAAAAUUACUCCAUCCACAAUAGCCUCAUAUAAAGAAAAUAAAAUACCUGGGAAUCAAUCUAACAAAAGAGGUGAAAGACCUCUACAGUGAAAACUACAGAACACUAAAGAAAGAAAUUAAAGAAAACCUCCAAAGAAAGAAAUUGAAGAAAACCUCAAAAGAUCUCUCAUGCUCCUGGAUAGGCAGAAUUAAUAUUGUCAAAAUGGCCAUACUACCAAAAGCAUUAUACAGAUUUAAUGCAAUCCUAUUAAAAUCCCAAUGACAUUUCUCAUAGGAAUAGAAAAAGCAAUCAUAAAAUUUAUUUGGAAAAAAUGAGACCCAGAAUAGCUAAAGCAAUCCUAAGCAAGAAAAGUGAAGCAGGAAGCAUCCCAAUACCAGAACUUAAACUAUACAACAGAGCUAUAGUAACAAAAUUGGCAUGGUAUUGGCACCAAAAUAGACUUAUAGACCAAUGGUACAGAAUGGAGGAAACAGAGACAAACCCACAUAAAUACUGUUAUCUCAUACUAGACAAGGAUGUCAAAAACAUUCACUGGAGAAAAGAUAGCCUACUCAACAAAUGGCGCUGGCAAAACUGGAAAUCCAUAUGUAGCAAAAUGAAAUUAAACCUCUAUC